AGAUUUCAAGUCUGGCUAAAUCCGUUCGUGUACUAGCAGACAUGGAAGAACCAAUUGGUCUGGUUUUGGAAAGAACUGAGGUUGCAGAUGGUCUUAUCUUGGAGAUGACAUUUUCCCCACUGAGUGUUCUUCUGAUUGUGUUCGAAUCUCGACCAGAUGCCCUAGUUCAGAAGACACAUCUUGUUGAUAAAGAAUGAGUAUCCUCGCCAGUCAAGAAGUCUGAAAUGGGUACAUGAUAAACACAAUAAUACUUUCAUCAAUUGGCUAAAGGAAACGCUGGGGGGAGGACGAUAUUAGAAAGGCUGUGACGAAAGUUGGUCCUAGGGUGAACUUGUGGAACUGCGAAAGGUUGGUUCCUAAUCUUGUUCUGUGGUGAUUAUAACUAUAUGGGUACUUUGUAAUCUAGGGAUUGCCGAUGCACUGAAUUCUAAUUGCUCGUUCUGUGAAUAUGGAUACCUGAUUAUAACUGGCUGGAUAUGACCCCUUUCGAAAAGAAAAUUAGUAAACUUAUAAAAACCCAUUUUCAUAAAUUGAAUAGAGUUAUUGAGAAAUAUGUAUUCAGCAAGAUGUUAUUUGAAAAUGUUAUUAUUGUCUUGAUGAUAUGGCCCUAUUAGAACAACUGAAUGACUAAGUAUAAUUUUUUUUCAAAUUCUGGAUGUGGUACAAAAACUAGUUUACACUUGUUAGCCAUCUCUAAUCUUUGAUUUCAAGGUACAGGGCAUGUUUACGCACUCAAUCCCUGGGAGAGGACAUAACCCUAACAUGGAAAUUGUUCCCAAGUAAGUUAGUCAUUUUCCUUCAGAUAGAUAAUACUUGUUUCUUGGUUGCCAGAUACACUUGAAUCUACCAUCAGAAAGAGAAAAACAAAAGGCCAAUUCUGCUUAGGGUACUUGCAUGUCUUUCUCUGUCUCAGUUCAUCAAUACGUCCAGCGUUAGAGGUCCGUGUAUGUACAAACUUGUUUUCGUGGUAACCAGGAUUAUUAUUCAGCUUGCAUGGUUGUGAAGGCUUGCUGUAGAAGAAGGCGUACAAAAUCCUCUCCAUUAGUCUCGAGGUUGUCAUGGAUUAUGCAAGUUUUUGGCUUUUCAGAUUGAACAUCAUUCUCCAGUGUUAGUGGUUGACACUAUUUGCUUGAUCUUACUUGUAGUGCUUCAGGGAAUAGACUAAAUGAGCUUGUUCUGAUGUUAAGGAUCUGUGUUUUGGUACCCUUGAUUUGAGUUAAACAAGUAGAACUCGGCAGAAAUAUGUAAUUUUUUUUUAUUUUCUUGUUCAGAAAUGAAUUUGAUUCAGACGGCAAUGAAAUAUAGUUUUUCUAUUA
Molecule: long non-coding RNA, 1316 nt
Organism: Papaver somniferum (opium poppy)
Lineage: Eukaryota; Viridiplantae; Streptophyta; Magnoliopsida; Ranunculales; Papaveraceae
Exons: 4
Source: RefSeq, a predicted model, not a curated record